UCCCGAACACGGAAGUUAAGCCCUCCAGCGCCGAUGGUACUUGGGACGUUCGUCCCUGGGAGAGUAGGACGCCGCCGGAU
Molecule: ribosomal RNA, 80 nt
Filed under: Acidimicrobiia bacterium
Lineage: Bacteria; Bacillati; Actinomycetota; Acidimicrobiia
Source: RNAcentral